This 487-nucleotide ribosomal RNA is filed under the name uncultured bacterium. RNAcentral's name for it is "partial 16S ribosomal RNA". It matches the Rfam family "Bacterial small subunit ribosomal RNA", at positions 28 to 507 of the family's 1533-position model. The record is from RNAcentral.
GAUGAACGCUAGCGAUAGGCUUAACACAUGCCAGUCGAGGGGCAGCACAAGGUAGCUUGCUAUCUGGGUGGCGACCGGCGCACGGGUGCGUAACGCGUAUGCAACUUGCCCUAUACAGGAGGAUAACCCGUCGAAAGACGGACUAAUACUGCGUAUGCUCACAACUUGGCAUCAAGUGGUGAGGAAAGAAAUUCGGUAUAGGAUAGGCAUGCGUCCCAUUAGCUUGUUGGUGAGGUAACGGCUCACCAAGGCAACGAUGGGCAGGGGAACUGAGAGGUUUAUCCCCCACACUGGUACUGAGACACGGACCAGACUCCUACGGGAGGCAGCAGUGAGGAAUAUUGGUCAAUGGGCGCGAGCCUGAACCAGCCAAGUCGCGUGAAGGAUGACUGUCUUAUGGAUUGUAAACUUCUUUUAUACGGGAAUAACAAGAGUCACGUGUGACUCCCUGCAUGUACCGUAUGAAUAAGCAUCGGCUAACUCCGUG